UAACUGGAGGACCGAACCGACUAAUGUUGAAAAAUUAGCGGAUGACCUGUGGCUGGGGGUGAAAGGCCAAUCAAACCGGGAGAUAGCUGGUUCUCCCCGAAAGCUAUUUAGGUAGCGCCUCGUGAAUUCAUCUCCGGGGGUAGAGCACUGUUUCGGCUAGGGGGCCAUCCCGGCUUACCAACCCGAUGCAAACUGCGAAUACCGGAGAAUGUUAUCACGGGAGACACACGGCGGGUGCUAACGUCCGUCGUGAAGAGGGAAACAACCCAGACCGCCAGCUAAGGUCCCAAAGUCAUGGUUAAGUGGGAAACGAUGUGGGAAGGCCCAGACAGCCAGGAUGUUGGCUUAGAAGCAGCCAUCAUUUAAAGAAAGCGUAAUAGCUCACUGGUCGAGUCGGCCUGCGCGGAAGAUGUAACGGGGCUAAACCAUGCACCGAAGCUGCGGCAGCGACACUGUGUGUUGUUGGGUA
Molecule: ribosomal RNA, 469 nt
Filed under: Salmonella enterica
Lineage: Bacteria; Pseudomonadati; Pseudomonadota; Gammaproteobacteria; Enterobacterales; Enterobacteriaceae
Also listed under: 1 other name
Description: partial 23S ribosomal RNA
Rfam family: Bacterial large subunit ribosomal RNA
Source: RNAcentral